GAUGAACGCUGGCGGCGUGCCUAAUACAUGCAAGUCGAGCGAACAGACGAGGAGCUUGCUCCUCUGACGUUAGCGGCGGACGGGUGAGUAACACGUGGAUAACCUACCUAUAAGACUGGGAUAACUUCGGGAAACCGGAGCUAAUACCGGAUAAUAUAUUGAACCGCAUGGUUCAAUAGUGAAAGACGGUUUUGCUGUCACUUAUAGAUGGAUCCGCGCCGCAUUAGCUAGUUGGUAAGGUAACGGCUUACCAAGGCGACGAUGCGUAGCCGACCUGAGAGGGUGAUCGGCCCCACUGGACCUGAGACACGGUCCAGACUCCGACGGGAGGCAGCAGUAGGGAAUCUUCCGCAAUGGGCGAAAGCCUGACGGAGCAACGCCGCGUGAGUGAUGAAGGUCUUCGGAUCGUAAAACUCUGUUAUUAGGGAAGAACAAAUGUGUAAGUAACUAUGCACGUCUGGACGGUACCUAAUCAGAAAGCCACGGCUAACUACGU
Molecule: ribosomal RNA, 496 nt
Filed under: uncultured bacterium
Lineage: Bacteria
Description: partial 16S ribosomal RNA
Rfam family: Bacterial small subunit ribosomal RNA
Source: RNAcentral